UUAGAAAAUUUCAGCAGAUAUUUGAACAUACUUGAAAGAUGCUGAUGGCUUUGAAGUUUGACACUGGGAAUACAUGUUCAGCACAGUCUCUUUGAUAGUUAUAAACCUACUUCCAAUUAACCAACAAAAUAAUCAAUAUCGUUGAAGGAACACUUCAAAUACUAGUGGACUUUAGCUCACACCCCCUUGGCUGUCAAUCAGACGGCCGGUCCUGUUACUUCCUGGUUUGUUUAGCUCAGUGAAGAUAAACUCAAGAG
Pelobates cultripes (western spadefoot toad) is the source of this 257-nucleotide non-coding RNA. Lineage: Eukaryota; Metazoa; Chordata; Amphibia; Anura; Pelobatidae. The record is from the annotation of a GenBank genome assembly.